ACUACGACCUCAGAUCAGACGUGGAGACCUGCUGAAUUUAAGCAUAUUACUAAGCAGAGGAAAAGAAACUAACCAGAAUUCCCCCAGUAACGGUGAGUGAAGAGCCCAGCAGUGAAUCCCCAUCCGGCGGCAGGCCCUGGAAAUGUGGCGACGCUCACAGGGCCCAAGUCUUUCUGAUCGAGACUCACCCUGCAGACGGUGUUAGGCCGGUAGGGGCCCCCGGCGCGCCGGUUCGGGUCUUCUCAGAGUCAGGGUGCUUUUGAAUGUAGCCCAAAGUGGGUGAACUCAAUCUAAGACUAAAUACGGGCGCAAGACCGAUAGCCAACAAGUACCGUAAGGGAAAGUUGAAAAGAACUUUGAAGAGAGAGUUUAAGAGGGUGGGAAACCACAGAGUGGUAAAGGGGUGGGGUCCGUGCAGUCCGCCUUGAGGAGUCAAUACGGCAGGCAAGUCAGUAUUCCCAGAACGGCGGAUCCCCUCCUGGGACUGCCACCCGCGUGCACCCGGCCUUUGCCCCCUGACGGCUCUUGGUCGGCUGGGCAGGUGGCUCUCCGCUCCAGCGGAGAGUGUUACAGCCACCUGACAGCAUUUUUUUCGUGGUGUCCGCGGGGCCAAGGGAGAUUGACCGAUGCUGCGCACUUCUCUGGCAACCGUCCCGGCCCCUCUAGGGGGCGACGACAGUGGACGUGGCUCCCGGUGCGACUGUUGACUCGGGUGGACUGUCCUCCGUGCGCCUGAUCGUGCAGCCAGGCGGGAUGCCCACAAAGGGUGCCAGGGUUCUGCAGUGAUGUCUGUAACCCACCCAACCCGUCUUGAAACACAGACAAGAGUCGAACAUGUACGCGAGUCAGAGGGCCAAACAAAACCCUGUGGCGCAAUGAAGGUGGGGCUGGCGCGCACGGUCUGAGGUGUGAUCCUAUCACAGCGGUUGCACCACCGGCCUGUCUCGCCCGCUCUGUCGAGGAGGUGGAGCAUGAGCAUGUGUGAUGAGGCCUGAAAGAGGGUGACCUAUGCCUAGGCACGGCGAAGCCAGAGGAACCUCUGGUGCAGGUCCGUAGCGGUUUUGACAUGCAAUCGGUCAUCUGACUUUUGUAUAGGGGCGAAAGACUUAUUGAACCAUCUAGUAGCUGGUUCCCUCAGAAGUUUCCCUUAGGAUAGCUGGUGCUCAGAAACCCCAGUUUUAUCUGAUAAAGCGAAUGGUUAGAGGUCUUGGGGCAAAAAGAUCACAGCCUAUUAUCAAACUUUAAAUGGGUAAGAAGCCCGGCUCGCUGGCAUGGAGCUGGGCAUCGAAUGCGAGUGCCCAGUGGGCCACUUUUGAUAAGCUGAACUGGUGCUGCGGGAUGAACCGUAUGCCUAUUAAGGCGCCCGAUGCCGACGCUCAUCAGACCCCAGAAAAGGUGUUGGUCAAUAUAGACAGCAGGACGGUGGCCAUGGAAGUUGGAAUCUGAUAAGGAGUUUUGUAACAACUCGCCUGCCAAAUCAACUAGCCCUAAAAAUGGAUGGUGCUGGAGCAUCUGUCCCAUACCCGGCCGGAGCUGAGAGCCGCGGGGGCAAAGCCGCGACCAGUGGGAGGGUCGCUGGGGUGCGCACGGAAACCUGGGGCGCUGGCUCAGGUGGUGGCGCCUCAGGUGCACAUCUUGGUGGUAGUAGCAAAUAUUCAAACGAGAACUUUGAAAGCCGAAGUGGAGAAGGGUUCCAUGUGAGCAGCAGUUGAACAUGGGUCAGUCGGUCCUAAGAGAUGGGAGAGUGCUGUUCUGAAGGGACGGGCGAUAGCCUCUGUUGCCCUCACCAGAUCGAAUGGGAGUCAGGUUCAGAUCCCUGUACCCCGAGUGGCGGAGACAGUGCCGUUGGGGCGUCCAAUGCCGUAACACAAACUAUCGCGGAGAAGCCGGCGGGAGAACCCGGGAAGAGUUCUUUUCUUUGUGUAGAGCAGGGCACCCUGGAAUGGGUUCGCCCCGAGAGCAGGGACCGAGCCUUGGAAAACAUUGCGGUUCUUGCAGCGUCCAGUGAGCUCUUGCUGGCCCUCAAUAAUCUGGGGGAAUCGGCGGGGAAAGAAUACCCAUUUGAGCUUGACUCUAGUCUGGCACUGUGAAGAGACAUGAGACGUGUAAGGUAAGUGGGAGACCCUCGGGCCAGCUGGGAAAUAUCACUACUCUUAUUGUUUUUUCAUUUAUCCAGUGAGGUGGGUGGGGAGCCCCGUGGGGCUCUCGCUUCUGUCUCCAAGUGCCUGGCACCACCCGCUCCGCGGACCGUGGCAGGUGGGGAGUUUGACUGGGGCGGUACACCUGUCAAACGUUAACGUAGGUGUCCUAAGGCGAGAUCAGGGAGGACAGAAACCUCCCGCAGAGCAGAAGGGCAGACACUCGCUUGAUCUCUAUUUUCAGUAUGAAUACAGACCAUGAAAGAAGGGCCUUGCGAUCCUUCUUACUUUUUGGGUUUCAAGCAGGUGGUGUCAGAAAAGUUAACGCAGGGUAGUGGCAGCCAAGCGUUCAUAGCAAGGUUGCUUUUUGUUUUUGAUCCUUUCAUGUCAGCUCUUCCUAUCAUUGUGAAGCAGAAUUUAACAAGCGUUGGAUUGUUCACCCACUAAUGGGGAACGUGAGCUGGGUUUAGACCGUUGUGAGACAGGUUAGUUUUACCCUACUGAUGAUGUCUUUUUGCAAUAGUGAUCCUACUCCGUAUGAGAAGAACCACAGGUUGAAGCAUUUGAUGUAUGUGCUUGGCUGAGGAGCCAAUGGGCGAAGCUACCAUCUGUGGGAUUAUGACUGAAUGCUUCCAAGUCAGAAUCCUCCCUAACCAUAACGAUACCGCAGCGCUGUGGAGCCUCGGUUGGCCUGGGAUAGCCGGCCUCUGAGCUGGUGCGUAGAGCCGCUUGCCUCGGGACUCGAGUGUGAACAGAAGGGUGCCACCUCUAUCGCCCGUAGUGCACUGCUGUUUGUGUGGAUCCUGGUGCUAAAUCAUUCAUAGACUACCUGAUUCUGGGUCAGGGUUUCGUAAGUAGCAGAGCAGCUACCUUGGUGCGAUCUAUUGAAAGUCGUCC
RNAcentral lists this ribosomal RNA (3035 nucleotides) under Ambystoma mexicanum (axolotl). RNAcentral describes it as "eukaryotic LSU rRNA". It matches the Rfam family "Eukaryotic large subunit ribosomal RNA". The record is from RNAcentral. Lineage: Eukaryota; Metazoa; Chordata; Amphibia; Caudata; Ambystomatidae.